UAAAGCGUGCGCAGGCGGUUAUGUAAGACAGAUGUGAAAUCCCCGGGCUCAACCUGGGAACUGCAUUAGUGACUGCAUAGCUGGAGUACGGCAGAGGGGGAUGGAAUUCCGCGUGUAGCAGUGAAAUGCGUAGAUAUGCGGAGGAACACCGAUGGCGAAGGCAAUCCCCUGGGCCUGUACUGACGCUCAUGCACGAAAGCGUGGGGAGCAAACAGGAUUAGAUACCCGGU
This 230-nucleotide ribosomal RNA is filed under the name uncultured bacterium. RNAcentral describes it as "partial 16S ribosomal RNA". It matches the Rfam family "Bacterial small subunit ribosomal RNA", at positions 561 to 790 of the family's 1533-position model. The record is from RNAcentral.